Molecule: ribosomal RNA, 184 nt
Filed under: uncultured bacterium
Lineage: Bacteria
Description: partial 16S ribosomal RNA
Rfam family: Bacterial small subunit ribosomal RNA
Source: RNAcentral
CCUACGGGAGGCAGCAGUAAGGAAUACUGCGCAAUGGGCGAAAGCCCGACGCAGCGACGCCGCGUGGGGGAUGAAGGUCUUCGGAUUGUAAACCCCUUUCGGGAGGGAAGAUGGAGCGAGCAAUCGUUCGGACGGUACCUCCAGAAUCAGCCACGGCCAACUUCGUGCCAGCAGCCGCGGUAAU